Molecule: ribosomal RNA, 536 nt
Filed under: uncultured Ilumatobacter sp.
Lineage: Bacteria; Bacillati; Actinomycetota; Acidimicrobiia; Acidimicrobiales; Ilumatobacteraceae
Description: bacterial SSU rRNA
Rfam family: Bacterial small subunit ribosomal RNA
Source: RNAcentral
CGCAGCUGAUGCAGCAACGCCGCGUGCGGGAUGACGGCCCUAGGGUUGUAAACCGCUUUCAGCAGGGAAGAAACUGACGGUACCUGCAGAAGAAGGUGCGGCCAACUACGUGCCAGCAGCCGCGGUGACACGUAGGCACCAAGCGUUAUCCGGAUUUAUUGGGCGUAAAGAGCUCGUAGUGCGGUUUAGUAAGUCUGGUGUGAAAACUCUGGGCUUAACCCAGAGAGGCCACCCGAUACUGCUAUGACUUGAUGCUACGGGAGGGGAGCGGGGAAUUCCUGGUGUAGCGGUGAAAUGCGCAGAUAUCAGCGAAGCAACACCCUGUGGCGAAGGCGCCGCUCUGAGGCCGAAUACUGACGCUAGAGGAGCGAAAGCGUGGGUAGCAAACAGGAUUAGAUACCCUGGUAGUCCACGCCGUAAACGUUGGGCACUAGGUGUGGGUCUUUACUAACGAAAUCCGCGCCGUAGCUAACGCAUUAAGUGCCCCGCCUGGGGAGUACGGUCGCAAGACUAAAACUCAGAUGAAAUUGACGGAA